RNAcentral lists this transfer RNA (214 nucleotides) under archaeon. RNAcentral's name for it is "tRNA-OTHER". The record is from RNAcentral. RNAcentral also lists the same sequence under 1 other name.
GGGCAUGUAGCUCAGCUUGGAUAGAGCACUGUUGCGGCCGCAUAAUCGGCCGGCGCUUAGGGCGAUUUGCACCUUGGUAUGCAAAGCUUGAAAAUCAUUAUGAUUUUCAAGACUGCAUUUUCGAUGCAGUCACCUGUCAUUACGUCGGCUUAAAUGCAGCUGCGGUGUAGGCCUUCUAAGCCAGGGGUCGGGGGUUCAAAUCCCUCCAUGCUCG